Molecule: ribosomal RNA, 253 nt
Filed under: uncultured bacterium
Lineage: Bacteria
Description: partial 16S ribosomal RNA
Rfam family: Bacterial small subunit ribosomal RNA
Source: RNAcentral
UACGUAGGGUGCUAGCGUUAAUCGGAAUUACUGGGCGUAAAGUGUGCGCAGGCGGCCGAGCAAGUCGAGUGUGAAAGCCCCGAGCUUAACUUGGGAACUGCGCUCGAAACUACUUGGCUAGAGUGUGGCAGAGGGAGGUGGAAUUCCACGUGUAGCGGUGAAAUGCGUAGAGAUGUGGAGGAACACCGAUGGCGAAGGCAGCCUCCUGGGCCAACACUGACGCUCAUGCACGAAAGCGUGGGGAGCAAACAGG